CUAAAUUUAAUUCAGCUCAACACACUCAGCACAGUGGUGGAGAAAAACAUCAUGUAAGACGUGUCUUUAAAUUCAGGAGUUCAAACUUAUUCAUCCCUGGACACAGCUUGGAAACCAGAUGAUGGCUAAAAUGAUGAGCAAAUGGGUGUAGCUAACACCUUUGCUCAUAUGAUUUUAUUUAUUCAUGAGAGACACAGAGAAAGACAUAGAGACCCAG
Long non-coding RNA from Canis lupus familiaris (dog), 217 nucleotides. RefSeq lists it as uncharacterized. The record is from RefSeq and is a predicted model, not a curated record. The transcript is spliced from 3 exons. NCBI's taxonomy places the organism in Eukaryota, Metazoa, Chordata, Mammalia, Carnivora, Canidae.